This 80-nucleotide small RNA is filed under the name Flavobacterium frigoris. RNAcentral describes it as "Flavo-1 RNA". It matches the Rfam family "Flavo-1 RNA". Lineage: Bacteria; Pseudomonadati; Bacteroidota; Flavobacteriia; Flavobacteriales; Flavobacteriaceae. The record is from RNAcentral.
AACCAGCUCUCAUAGCAGCAGCAUCCUUUUUUAUCUCCUUUUUUAGGAUAAAAAAGAUAUAGCGAAUAGCAGGAAAUUGC